This 459-nucleotide ribosomal RNA is filed under the name uncultured bacterium. RNAcentral describes it as "partial 16S ribosomal RNA". It matches the Rfam family "Bacterial small subunit ribosomal RNA", at positions 338 to 795 of the family's 1533-position model. The record is from RNAcentral.
CCUACGGGUGACAGCAGUGAGGAAUAUUGGUCAAUGGCCGGAAGGCUGAACCAGCCACGCCGCGUGAAGGACGAAGGUGCCAAGCAUUGUAAACUUCUUUUGUCAAGGGACAAAAUCAGGCUCGAGAGCCUGACCGCGGGUACUUGAAGAAAAAGCAUCGGCUACCUCCGUGCCAGCAGCCGCGGUACUACGGAGGAUGCGAGCGUUAUCCGGAUUUAUUGGGUUUAAAGGGUGCUUAGGCGGACUGUUAAGUCAGCGGUAAAAGCCCGGGGCUCAACCCCGGCGAGCCGUUGAAACUGGCUGUCUUGAGAUGUCGAGAGGUAUGCGGAAUGCGCAGUGUAGCGGUGAAAUGCGUAGAUAUUGCGAAGAACUCCGAUUGCGAAGGCAGCAUACCGGCGGCGAUCUGACGCUGAGGCACGAAAGCGUGGGUAUCGAACAGGAUUAGAUACCCGGGUAGUC